This 429-nucleotide ribosomal RNA is filed under the name Pseudosuccinea columella. Its description in RNAcentral is "partial 16S ribosomal RNA". It matches the Rfam family "Bacterial large subunit ribosomal RNA", at positions 1795 to 2622 of the family's 2925-position model. The record is from RNAcentral. Lineage: Eukaryota; Metazoa; Mollusca; Gastropoda; Lymnaeidae.
UCGCCUGUUUUACAAAAACAUAGCCCAAAGAUUUAUUUUGGGUAAAUUCUGCCCAGCGUAAUUUAUUAGCGGCCGCAGUACUUUGACUGUGCUAAGGUAGCAUAAUCAAUUGGCUUUUAAUUGUAGUCUGGAAUGAAAGGACUAAUAGGGGUUAGCUGUCUCUAUACUAUUAUUUUGAAUUUAUUUAUUAAGUGAAAAUACUUAUACAAAGAAAAAAGACGAGAAGACCCUUAGAAUUUUAAUAAAAUAUUUAAUAAUUUUUUUUUGUUGGGGCGACAUUGAAACAAUUAAACUUUCAUUAACAAUCAAGACAUUUAGGUUUGAAAGAAUAAAUUACCUUAGGGAUAACAGCAUAAUUAAUUAUUUAGUUUGUGACCUCGAUGUUGGACUAGGAACUAGAAGAUUAACCGUCUAAAUAGAUGUCGUCGA